AUUGAACGCUGGCGGCAUGCUUUACACAUGCAAGUCGAACGGUAACAGGUUAAGCUGACGAGUGGCGAACGGGUGAGUAAUGCAUCGGAACGUGCCCGAUCGUGGGGGAUAACGCAGCGAAAGCUGCGCUAAUACCGCAUACGAUCUGAGGAUGAAAGCGGGGGACCGUAAGGCCCCGCGCGAUCGGAGCGGCCGAUGUCAGAUUAGGUAGUUGGUGGGGUAAAGGCUCACCAAGCCAACGAUCUGUAGCUGGUCUGAGAGGACGACCAGCCACACUGGGACUGAGACACGGCCCAGACUCCUACGGGGGGCAGCAGUGGGGAAUUUUGGACAAUGGGCGAAAGCCUGAUCCAGCAAUGCCGCGUGAAGGAAGAAGGCCUUCGGGUUGUAAACUGCUUUUGUACGGAGCGAAAAGGUUCUCUCUAAUACAGAGGGCUCAUGACGGUACCGUAAGAAUAAGCACCGGCUAACUACGUGCCAGCCGCCGCAGUAA
Molecule: ribosomal RNA, 493 nt
Filed under: uncultured bacterium
Lineage: Bacteria
Description: partial 16S ribosomal RNA
Rfam family: Bacterial small subunit ribosomal RNA
Source: RNAcentral